This 497-nucleotide ribosomal RNA is filed under the name uncultured bacterium. Its description in RNAcentral is "partial 16S ribosomal RNA". It matches the Rfam family "Bacterial small subunit ribosomal RNA", at positions 28 to 507 of the family's 1533-position model. The record is from RNAcentral.
GACGAACGCUGGCGGCGUGCCUAAUACAUGCAAGUUGAGCGAUGAAGAUUGGUGCUUGCACCAAUUUGAAGAGCAGCGAACGGGUGAGUAACGCGUGGGGAAUCUGCCUUUGAGCGGGGGACAACGUUUGGAAACGAAUGCUAAUACCGCAUAACAACUUUAAACAUAAGUUUUAAGUUUGAAAGAUGCAAUUGCAUCACUCAAAGAUGAUCCCGCGUUGUAUUAGCUAGUUGGUGAGGUAAAGGCUCACCAAGGCGAUGAUACAUAGCCGACCUGAGAGGGUGAUCGGCCACAUUGGGACUGAGACACGGCCCAAACUCCUACGGGAGGCAGCAGUAGGGAAUCUUCGGCAAUGGACGAAAGUCUGACCGAGCAACGCCGCGUGAGUGAAGAAGGUUUUCGGAUCGUAAAACUCUGUUGGUAGAGAAGAACGUUGGUGAGAGUGGAAAGCUCAUCAAGUGACGGUAACUACACAGAAAGGGACGGCUAACUACGUG